Molecule: ribosomal RNA, 430 nt
Filed under: uncultured bacterium
Lineage: Bacteria
Description: partial 16S ribosomal RNA
Rfam family: Bacterial small subunit ribosomal RNA
Source: RNAcentral
GUGGGGAAUAUUGCACAAUGGGCGCAAGCCUGAUGCAGCAACGCCGCGUGAGGGAUGACGGCCUUCGGGUUGUAAACCUCUUUUAGUAGGGAAGAAGCGUAAGUGACGGUACCUGCAGAAAAAGCACCGGCUAACUACGUGCCAGCAGCCGCGGUAAUACGUAGGGUGCAAGCGUUGUCCGGAAUUAUUGGGCGUAAAGAGCUCGUAGGCGGCUUGUCGCGUCUGCCGUGAAAACCCAGGGCUCAACUCUGGGCGUGCGGUGGGUACGGGCAGGCUAGAGUGCGGUAGGGGAGAGUGGAAUUCCUGGUGUAGCGGUGGAAUGCGCAGAUAUCAGGAGGAACACCGAUGGCGAAGGCAGAUCUCUGGGCCGUAACUGACGCUGAGGAGCGAAAGCAUGGGGAGCGAACAGGAUUAGAAACCCCUGUAGUCC